GAACCCAUGUCUCCUGCAUUGGCAGGCAGAUCCUUUACCACUAAGCCACCAGGGAAGCCAAGAAUAGUGUCUUCAACAGGGAUUGUUGAAGAAACAAUGGGUACAUUGAGGCAGGUUGAUCUUAGAGAGGGACGUGGCUUGAUCCAUGUGCCAAAUUCUCACCUCAACACACAUUUUCGCAUUUCUCAAGAUAUCUAGUUUAGUAUGCUUGGUGGGAACCCACCCUGGAAGUUUAACAACUGUAAAAUGAGGAUGGGGGCAGAUUUUGAGUAGAGAGGAGGAUGAAGAGGAAGAAAGAGGAAGAAAACAGGAGAGGAUGGAGCUAGAGCCUUCAAAUGUGUAAAAAUGUUUCUGUCUUCACAGACAUUAAGUACCAGGACUUCAUCUGUCUUGCCAUCCCCAUAUUUUGCCAGUACUGCAACUGGAACUCCAGGUCUGCCAUGGAGACAAUCUCAUGAUGACAUUACGUUCCAGGAAGUCUUGCUGAAUGCACAGCUGCGGCAGCCCUGGCUCCCCCCUCAUUCCUCCGGAAGCCUGCAAUUUGUGUUGUUUUAGGCUCUGUGGCCCAGGAAGCAUUAUCAGAUGGAAGUGUGCCACCUCCCCACCCCGGCCCCCAGUGCUGUCUUUGUGGCCAGUGAAGUAAAUGCAUCUUGUGCCUCUUAAGAAAUGUGGGACAGGAGGUCGGGUGGAGCCCUGCCAGUGUGACCGGGGAGGUGCGUCAGUGGCUCAGUGACAGGUGGCAGAGGCCAAGGGCUUGGGAAUCACUUACAGUCACGGAGAUUUCUUUCUCUUUCAGCCUUUGCCCUCUGAUGGGAAUGAAGCAGCAGGCCGCCAAGCCACACAACGGAAGCCUGAAAUGAGACGACUUGGGCAAUUUGCACAAGAGUUUCCUUCUUUAAAUAAUUACAGAGUCACUAUCCCUGGGGGCAUUUGCUUAUUGGCUGCCUUCACAGUCUUCUUCUUCUUUUUUUAGAGCAAGUCUCUUAAAGACACUGCUCUUGGUCUUACAUGCACUUGCCCAGACUUGUCUUCUUCUUAUAGUACUGAUGUUCUACUGUUCAAAAGUUAGGAAGGAGCUGACUCUGAGCUGGAAACAAGGGCAGCAGAAGGUUGAGACAGUGGGCUCAUUUUGUGCAUAAGUCCCAGAGAGAGAGAGUGCUAGCCAUUGUGGGAGGUGGGUUUGAGGGGUUGGAUGUGCAAAAUGGGGUCUAGCUGGCAGCCCCUGGGUAAUCUGCUGAUGGUGGUUUGGAAAUGGCAACUGUUGAAAAACACUGACAACUGGGGUUGUUUCUCAUCUGAAACAUGGUGUCUGCACUGACUGUAAAUGUUCCCCACAGGGAAAUUGGCAAGGGUGUGCUGGUAAACUGGCUCUUUGGAAAGAAAAAAAAGGAGGGUUGGUUUGUAACCUUUAGUACAUACUCUGACUCUGGCACAUUUCCAGCUACCACGGUUAAUCUGCCUGCCAAAAUCCCAAAUGUUUAACACUCUUCUCUCUGGAACAGAUGCCAGCAGCUCCAGCCUUCCACUGGCUAAGAAACAAAUUUCUACUUGCCCCUCACAGGCCAGCUUUGGGUCCACAUGCAAUAUUCCCCCUGCCCCAAAUUUAAAAAAAAAAAAAAAAAAAAAGGUUGGUUUCAGUUUUGCACUUAUUUCAUGUGUGCUUCUUGGCAAGGGCUUUACUUUUUCCAAACAUAGCUCUCUCUUUUGAAAAACAAGAGUUCAGGUUAUGCCAUGUAGCAUCUCUGUGAAGCUCACACCACUCUUCCCUAAGAACUACAUCUUCUGUCUCAUGGUGCCAUGCUUGGGUUAAGAGAUUCUGCACCUGUGGCCUGAGCUGAUUAAACAGAUUGAUUGGCCAGGGGCCAGUCAGAUCUCUCCCUUGAUGAUUAGCCCAAAGCAAUCCCAAGCUUGAAUUUGUGAGUGGAGGGGCAGAGAGAGGGGGACCCAAACCGAGGAAGUCCUCUGCCACCUACCACAUCCCUCAAUCUAUCUGCUCUUUGCUUUGAUUGUUCAGCUUUGUCUUGGAGUCGUGGAGAUAUCCCAGUUGCUUCCAAUAAACUUUCUUCUAGCUCUCGGGCCAGUGAGAGUAGGAGUUUGUAAAUUUGGACUAAGACUGACAUUUCAAGGAUUAGCAUAAAAGAAUAGAAGAAAAGUGUGAAGAAUGAAAAUGCUGCCAAUAAAGGACAAAAAA
Non-coding RNA from Odocoileus virginianus texanus, 2191 nucleotides. The record is from RefSeq and is a predicted model, not a curated record. NCBI's taxonomy places the organism in Eukaryota, Metazoa, Chordata, Mammalia, Artiodactyla, Cervidae.